GUAUUCGAGUUUUUUUUUGAUUACUCUGAAUGUUAGACUUGCAAUUGAAGACGUGUGAGAGAAAAUGAAGCCCAAUCCUCUCCCCCGCUUUUUUCCCUCUCCCCCCAAAGGAGAGAGAGAAAGAGAGAGAGAGUUGAAAAGGACCUCUUACAUUGCACACAAGGUGGGUAUGGAUUUGAAAGUGCCAUAAACACUUAUUGUGAAUGAUCCUUCCGCAGGUUCACCUACGGAAA
This 233-nucleotide unclassified non-coding RNA is filed under the name uncultured fungus. RNAcentral's name for it is "sequence contains ITS1". The record is from RNAcentral. Lineage: Eukaryota; Fungi.